CCUACGGGUGGCAGCAGUGAGGAAUAUUGGUCAAUGGGCGUAAGCCUGAACCAGCCAAGCCGCGUGAGGGAUGAAGGUUCUAUGGAUCGUAAACCUCUUUUGUAAGGGAAUAAAGUGUGGGACGUGUCCUAUUUUGUAUGUACCUUAUGAAUAAGGAUCGGCUAACUCCGUGCCAGCAGCCGCGGUAAUACGGAGGAUCCGAGCGUUAUCCGGAUUUAUUGGGUUUAAAGGGUGCGUAGGCGGACUUUUAAGUCAGCGGUGAAAUUCUGUGGCUCAACCAGGGAAUUGCCGUUGAAACUGGGGGGCUUGAGUAUGUUUGAGGUAGGCGGAAUGCGUGGUGUAGCGGUGAAAUGCUUAGAUAUCACGCAGAACCCCGAUUGCGAAGGCAGCUUGCCAAGCCAUGACUGACGCUGAGGCACGAAAGCGUGGGGAGCAAACAGGAUUAGAUACCCGAGUAGUC
Molecule: ribosomal RNA, 460 nt
Filed under: uncultured bacterium
Lineage: Bacteria
Description: partial 16S ribosomal RNA
Rfam family: Bacterial small subunit ribosomal RNA
Source: RNAcentral